CCUACGGGAGGCAGCAGUGGGGGAUAUUGCACAAUGGGGGGAACCCUGAUGCAGCGACGCCGCGUGGGUGAAGGCGCGUCUCGGCGUGUAAAGCCCCAUCUGUAGGGAAGUAGGAGGACGGUACCUCACUAAGAAGCCCCGGCCAACUACGUGCAAGCAGCCGCGGUAAUACGUAGGGGGCAAGCGUUAUCCGGAUUUACUGGGUGUAAAGGGGGUGCAGACGGGAGCGCAAGCCAGGAGUGAAAGCCCGGGGGCCAACCCCGGGACUGCUGUUGGAACCGGGCGGCUGGAGUGCGGGGGGGGCAGGCGGAAUGCGUGGUGUAGCGGUGAAAUGCGUAGAUAUCAGGAGGAACACCGGUGGCGAAGGCAGCCUGCUGGAGUGCAACUGACGUUGAGGCCCGAAAGCGUGGGGAGCGAACAGGAUUAGAUACCCUUGUAGUC
Molecule: ribosomal RNA, 441 nt
Filed under: uncultured bacterium
Lineage: Bacteria
Description: partial 16S ribosomal RNA
Rfam family: Bacterial small subunit ribosomal RNA
Source: RNAcentral